This is an unclassified non-coding RNA of Vigna unguiculata (cowpea), 3965 nucleotides long. NCBI's taxonomy places the organism in Eukaryota, Viridiplantae, Streptophyta, Magnoliopsida, Fabales, Fabaceae. The record is from RefSeq and is a predicted model, not a curated record.
UGGAGGCUAGGGUUCUGGGAUUCUUGCGUUUUGGUCGUUGCAAAUCAGAAACAUGGGGUAUUCCAAGGUGUGGAACUCUCAUCCCAAGAACUAUGGGUCUGGCUCUCGCACAUGGUUAUUGCUGAUGUUGCUUUUUGCCCCUUUGAGGCUGUGAAGGUCUGUGUCCAAACACAGCCUGGUUUUGCUAGGGGUUUGGCUGAUGGGCUCUUAAAGUUUGUGAGAUCUGAAGGAACUUUGGGGUAUGCUUACAAAGUUUCCACUGAGAUUUCACCAUCCAUUAUGAAAUUCCUUAAAAUCUUCAAAUCCAAACCCUUCAAUCUCCGAACUUUCAGUUCUCUUUCCCUUCCCACCAUCGUCACACCAAUCACCGAAUCCGAACUCUUAAAUUCCAUCGAAUCUUCUCAGUGGCAUUUCAUCAAACAUGCUGCGCCACACUACACUCCCUCUCUUCUCUCUUCCACUCUAACCUCCCUCCGCCACAAACCCCAAGUCGUCCUUCAGCUUCUCUCCCAUCUCAAUGACCACCCUCAUUCCCUCGACUUAACCACCUCUUCCCUCGCUGCUUGCAUCCUCUGUUGCCUCCCAUCUCCCAAACCCUCUAUCAACCUCUUACAGAGCCUCAUUCUAUGUUCCACUGUCACAAACAAAACUAUUUUCUAUGAGUUGGAACUUUCCCGCGACCGCGUGGAUGCCAAGACAAGUCUCAUCUUUGACCUUCUGGCCAGGGCCUAUUGUGAACUCAAGAAGCCCAAUGAGGUCUUGGAGUGUUUCUACUUGAUGAAGGAAAAGGGUGUUGAGCCCAACAUUGAGACUUGCAAUCAGAUGCUAAGUCUGUUUUUAAGACUGAACAGGACUCACAUGGCUUGGGUUUUGUAUGCUGAGAUGUUUACGAUGAAGAUAAAGUCUAGUGUGUACACUUUCAACAUCAUGGUUAAUGUCUUGUGUAAAGAAGGGAAGUUGAAGAAGGCAAAGGAGUUCAUUGAGUACAUGGAGGCUCUUGGGGUGAAGCCUAAUGUUGUCACAUAUAACACUGUUAUACAUGGACACUGUUUGAGAGGGAAGUUCCAAAUGGCCCGUGUGAUCUUUCAAACAAUGAAAGAUAAAGGUCUUGAGCCUGAUUGCUAUACGUAUAAUUCUUUCAUAUCUGGGUUGUGUAAAGAAAGAAGACUCGAGGAGGCUACUGGUUUACUUUGUAAAAUGUUAGAAAUUGGCUUGGUUCCAAAUGCAGUAACAUAUAACGCGUUGAUUGAUGGGUUUUGCAACAAAGGGGAUCUGGAUAAGGCUUUUGCAUGCAGGGAUGAGAUGAUAAGUAAAGGUGUAACGACAACUUUGGUUACAUACAAUUUGUUUAUUCAUGCACUGUUUAUGGAAGGAAGGAUGGGGGAGGCUGAUAAUAUGAUAAAAGAAAUGCGAGAAAAAGGCAUGAAGCCUGAUGCUGUUACUUAUAACAUAUUGAUUAAUGGUUAUUGUAGAUGCGGGGAUGCAAAGAGAGCCUUUAGCCUUCUUGAUGAAAUGGUGGGAAAAGGGAUUCAGCCAACUUUGGUCACGUAUACAUCACUUAUAUCUGUUUUGGGUAAAAGGAAUAGAAUGAAAGAAGCAGAUGCCUUGUUUAAUAAGGUUCAACAAGAAGGUUUGUUGGUAGAUGCUGUAAUGUUUAACGCCUUGAUCGAUGGUCAUUGUGCAAAUGGUAAUAUUGAUAGUGCAUUUCAACUCUUGAAACAGAUGGAUAACAUGAAGGUUCUUCCUGAUGAAAUCACUUAUAACACCUUGAUGCAAGGAUACUGCAGAGAGGGGAAAGUGGAAGAAGCUAAACAGCUUCUUGAUGAGAUGAAGAGAAGGGGGAUCAAACCUGAUCACAUUAGUUACAACACACUCAUUAGUGGUUACAGUAAAAGAGGUGAUAUGAAGGAUGCGUUUAGAGUUCGCGAUGAAAUGUUGACUACAGGAUUUGAUCCUACAAUUCUCACUUACAAUGCUCUUAUACAAGGUUUGUGCAAAAAUGGGGAAGGUGAGCAUGCUGAAGAGCUCCUCAAAGAAAUGGUAAGUAAAGGCAUCACUCCUGACGACAGCACCUACCUAUCUAUAAUUGAGGCCAUGGAGAAAGUUGAUGACAUGUAGGAAAAUGAUGAUAAAUGAAUUGAGGAAGAAAAUAGUAUUUCACAGUGAAUUUCUAGCAUUGGAAUUUGGACACAAGCAUGUCAACGUUCCUUGUUCUACAAGCUGAAUCAACAUUCCAUGUGUAUGAGUAACAGAUCAAACUUCCAGUUCAUCUACGAGUGGGCUUAUGUUCAAGACCUCCACAACGUGUCUGUGUCCAAGAGGUUUUGGAGAGGGAAGUUCGCUUGUCAUACUGGAACAAAGUUAAGCAGGUAAUUUAUCAAAGCUAGAACCACACUAAAUUUUACUUCUGUUGCAAAUUGUCCUAUGAUGAGACAAUUAGAUUGCAUUGCCACUCAUGAUCUUUUCAUGGUUAUGAAUGGAUUAGAUAUUUUUGUUCCUCUGUUUUUGUUAUGUAGAGGAAUAGAUGCUUUUUUAAAUAGAAUGCUUUUUUAUUUUCCAGUUUCCUUGUGAGGUAACUCACUCCAGGAUCAUAUUUCAGGUGAAUUGUUGUAGAAUCUUCUUAGAGAAUUUGAACAUAGAAAAGAGAGUGAAAAUUGAAUAAGAACAGAAUGUUUUUAUUUACUGCUUUCACACAUUGAAUCUUGUGUACAAGAGGGAUUAAUAGACACAAAUGUCUAAGAAGCUGUACAGAGACAAAAUAUACAAUGAAAGAAACAUAGCUUUUAAUUUUAAGACCAUACUCUUCCAUAGAUUUAGAUUUCAGUCUAACAACACACAUUGUAAUGCACAAUUCUUGCUAGAGACUUAGUUUGAAGUCCAAAGUAUGCAUGAAUCUUGUCCCAAACUUCAUAGAAAUGACUGGCUCCAAGCACAUGAGAAAGAACAGACUUCGAAAGUGUAGAUUGAAGUCAAACUGGUAACAUCUGAUCUUGGACCUUCCGACUUUCAUAUUCAGGAUUAAUAAUGACUAGUGGUGCGGCAAAUGAACAAUCAAACAAGAGAAAUACCAGAGAUUCAAUUUUUGGAAAACUUGCACUGACAACAUGCACAUAUCCAUAUUGUCAUUUUUUGUUUACCAUAAAAAAAUGAAUAAUGCAUUACAUGUUUAUUACCUUAGAUGUUAAAAAAGAAACGAAGACUUAUUUUUAAGCAGAAUGAUCAAAUUGUUUGCAAUGACUAAAUUGGGCAUAAUUUAAUCACUGGUAACAAUUUGGUCAUAUUGCUUAAAAAAUCAUUGUUUUUUUAAACAUCCGAUGUAAUGAAUAAAUUAUAUAUAAUUCUUGUUUAUUUCUUAUGGUCAACAAAAAAAUGAGAAUAGCUUUUGAAAACAAGAGUAUAGUUAAACACUACAGAACUUUUUUUUCAAGUUCCUCGAACUGAAUUUUUUUAUAGUAUGAGCAAAUGUUUACUUGAUUUUUUGGUGAUUUACCUUCGUUCAAUUUUACAAUUCCGAACUCGUGAACAAAAAUAAUGACAUUGUUGAAGAACCUUUUGAGAUUUGUCAUCUUCUUGAAGUCUAAGAUUUGAAAACUCAAAUGAUCUAUCUUUUAAGAAUGAUAUGUACAAUCACAUCAUUUAGUUAAUUGUAUCUUUGGUUUUUAAAGCAAGCAAUGGUGCUAGUCGACAAUUUUUUUCCAAACUGGUUUUGGAUAAAAGUAUCUUGUUUCAUUUAUUUAUUUUCAUUUGAAAAAAAAACAUAUUUCUAAGAUUUCUUUGACUAAGCUUUUGAGUGUAGUGGUAGUACACUAGUGCUGACUUUGAUCGCUGAUUAUUUUUUCCAUUUUAACCCAAAACCCAUGUUUCAUGACAUGUAUGAUAUUAAAUGAAGUGGAGGUCUUGGAGGAACAAAUCAGAUAUGGUUCUUCUCAAAGAUAUUGUGCCUGCAGCUCAUAACAACAUAGAGA